Molecule: transfer RNA, 76 nt
Filed under: bacterium
Lineage: Bacteria
Also listed under: 1 other name
Description: tRNA-Ala
Rfam family: tRNA
About the family: Transfer RNA (tRNA) molecules are approximately 80 nucleotides in length.
Source: RNAcentral
GGGGGCGUAGUUCAGUUGGGAGAACGCAUCCUUGGCAGGGAUGAGGUCGCCGGUUCGACUCCGGUCGCCUCCACCA